AUGAACUCAGUUGCGAGACGCAUAUCAAGCUUAUUCAGGCAGUCGGGUUUUGCAACUGAACCUUUUAAUGCUGCUCAGCUUCAGCAAAGCAGAGGCAUACGAGUGCAGGUGUAUAAUGGAAACCUGGAAGGGGCAUUGGCAUUGAUGCAACGUAAGAUGACAUCGAGUGGGAUCGAGAGGAUGAUAAAGAUUGAACAGAGGUUUCAUAUUAAGAACUCGGAGAAGCGUGUGUUAGCGCAAAAGAAUUUGCAGCGUAGGCUUCGAUCGCAGGAUCUUGCUAGGAAACUAAAGGCCAUUAUGAUCAAGAAAGUCAGGGGUCUUUGA
This is a non-coding RNA of Vicia faba (fava bean), 324 nucleotides long. The record is from the annotation of a GenBank genome assembly. Lineage: Eukaryota; Viridiplantae; Streptophyta; Magnoliopsida; Fabales; Fabaceae.